UGGGGAAUAUUGGACAAUGGGGGCAACCCUGAUCCAGCAAUGCCGCGUGUGUGAAGAAGGUCUUCGGAUUGUAAAGCACUUUUGGCAGGGACGAUGAUGACGGUACCUGCAGAAUAAGCCCCGGCUAACUUCGUGCCAGCAGCCGCGGUAAUACGAAGGGGGCUAGCGUUGCUCGGAAUGACUGGGCGUAAAGGGCGCGUAGGCGGCUGUCACAGUCAGAAGUGAAAUUCCUGGGCUCAACCUGGGGACUGCUUUUGAUACGUGGCGGCUUGAGUGGGGAAGAGGGUUGCGGAAUUUCCAGUGUAGAGGUGAAAUUCGUAGAUAUUGGAAAGAACACCGGUGGCGAAGGCGGCAACCUGGUCCUUGACUGACGCUGAGGCGCGAAAGCGUGGGGAGCAAACAGGAUUAGAUACCCUGGUAGUCCACGCUGUAAACGAUGUGUGCUGGAUGUUGGGGAACUAUGUUUCUCAGUGUCGUAGCUAACGCGAUAAGCACACCGCCUGGGGAGUACGGCCGCAAGGUUG
Molecule: ribosomal RNA, 524 nt
Filed under: uncultured bacterium
Lineage: Bacteria
Description: bacterial SSU rRNA
Rfam family: Bacterial small subunit ribosomal RNA
Source: RNAcentral